CAUAGCCACCUUCUCCUAUCUUUCUCUCCUCUGCAAAGUAGUCGGUGGCUACCUCUAUCUCCUCGAUCGUGUACCUCCUGUACCUGAGCGUUGGAGCUCCAUCGUCUGCAGCGGAAAUCGUCGUCUGAAAACGAGUCCAGAUUCGGGGAACGGUGAGGGAAGGUUACCUUCUGUUUAGCUGUACAGAUGCAACUAUGGCUUCAGACUACUUCCUUGUAGCGAGUAAAUGUCAUACCAUGUUCUGAGAUGAUGAGCUCUCAUGAGACACGGAGGAGAAUCCAUUGGCGGAUGAGACUGCGCCCACCGACC
Molecule: long non-coding RNA, 309 nt
Organism: Musa acuminata subsp. malaccensis (wild Malaysian banana)
Lineage: Eukaryota; Viridiplantae; Streptophyta; Magnoliopsida; Zingiberales; Musaceae
Source: RefSeq, a predicted model, not a curated record